RNAcentral lists this ribosomal RNA (391 nucleotides) under uncultured bacterium. RNAcentral describes it as "bacterial SSU rRNA". It matches the Rfam family "Bacterial small subunit ribosomal RNA", at positions 29 to 409 of the family's 1533-position model. The record is from RNAcentral.
AACGAACGCUGGCGGCGCGCCUAAUACAUGCAAGUCGAGCGAGAAGACGUAGCAAUACGUUUGUAAAGCGGCGAACGGGUGAGGAAUACAUGGGUAACCUACCCUCGAGUGGGGAAUAACUAGCCGAAAGGUUAGCUAAUACCGCGUACGCUCCUUGGACUUCGGUUCAGGGAGGAAAGCGAUACCGUGGGUAUCGCGCUCUUGGAUGGGCUCAUGUCCUAUCAGCUUGUUGGUGAGGUAACGGCUCACCAAGGCUUCGACGGGUAGCUGGUCUGAGAGGACAAUCAGCCACACUGGCACUGCGACACGGGCCAGACUCCUACGGGAGGCAGCAGUAAGGAAUAUUGCGCAAUGGGCGAAAGCCUGACGCAGCGACGCCGCGGUGGGGGAU